AUCAGUUGGGUGGAGUGGGAUGACUGCCCUCCCACUCCGCUCAUGUUCCAGCAGCUUUGUGAAGUCAUCAAUGGGGACAUUUUCCAACGAGGAUGCUCACCCACCAUCCCUGCUUUCCUCUCCUUUGCCACCUCCAUCCAUGUCCAUGAAAUUCCCCACAGGCUGUCAGAGCACCACGCUGGGGACCUUCUUUGCCUUUUCUUUGACAUUGCAAGGGUGCUGAAUCAAGCGUCUGCGAGAGAGAUUGGGCGUGAUCUGCACGG
Molecule: non-coding RNA, 263 nt
Organism: Monodelphis domestica (gray short-tailed opossum)
Lineage: Eukaryota; Metazoa; Chordata; Mammalia; Didelphimorphia; Didelphidae
Source: RefSeq, a predicted model, not a curated record